GACGAACGCUGGCGGCGUGCCUAAUACAUGCAAGUGGGACGCAAGGGAACACACUGUGCUUGCACACCGUGUUUUCUUGAGUCGCGAACGGGUGAGUAACGCGUAGGUAACCUGCCUAUCAGCGGGGGAUAACUAUUGGAAACGAUAGCUAAUACCGCAUAAUAUUAAUUAUUGCAUGAUAAUUGAUUGAAAGAUGCAAGCGCAUCACUAGUAGAUGGACCUGCGUUGUAUUAGCUAGUUGGUAAGGUAAGAGCUUACCAAGGCGACGAUACAUAGCCGACCUGAGAGGGUGAUCGGCCACACUGGGACUGAGACACGGCCCAGACUCCUACGGGAGGCAGCAGUAGGGAAUCUUCGGCAAUGGACGAAAGUCUGACCGAGCAACGCCGCGUGAGUGAAGAAGGUUUUCGGAUCGUAAAGCUCUGUUGUAAGUCAAGAACGUGUGUGAGAGUGGAAAGUUCACACAGG
RNAcentral lists this ribosomal RNA (468 nucleotides) under Streptococcus mutans. RNAcentral describes it as "bacterial SSU rRNA". It matches the Rfam family "Bacterial small subunit ribosomal RNA", at positions 28 to 472 of the family's 1533-position model. Lineage: Bacteria; Bacillati; Bacillota; Bacilli; Lactobacillales; Streptococcaceae. The record is from RNAcentral.